GGGCUUCUAGUGACUGCAUCUUUUGCCAACAUGCGCGGCUUCCAGGAAUCUAGAAAAAAGAAAGAGCUGCGGCUGAUGAAAAACCGGAAAGCCGCCAGAGAGUAUCGACGCCGCAAGAAGGAUUAUGUGAGAGGCCUGGAGCAUCGCAUGGCCACACUGGAAGCGGAGAAUGAUAAGCUGUUGGCGGAGUUGUCGCAGUACCUUAUGGCAUAUCCUCCAGUCGUUUAGUGUCACGACGACCAGCACCUGAGACGAUGGACCAGCUCUCACCAUCCAGCUGUCAAGCUGUCAGUCUCACGUUCCUUUACACGAUACACACCCUUCCCAACCUUACACUCCCUACACACAACAUUACAUUACGUGCUGGCGUUUAUUGUUCGGAAAAUAAAUUGAUUAUAUAUAUAUAUACGAGAAAAAAA
This is a long non-coding RNA of Spea bombifrons (plains spadefoot toad), 419 nucleotides long. RefSeq lists it as uncharacterized. NCBI's taxonomy places the organism in Eukaryota, Metazoa, Chordata, Amphibia, Anura, Pelobatidae. The record is from RefSeq and is a predicted model, not a curated record. The transcript is spliced from 2 exons.